AUGGUUUCCCAAAUCCAUGCUCUGAAGCUUGUAGUAGAACUCAACUCCAGCCUUGUUUUUCAUGAUCUGAAAACCUCUUUGAACCCGAGAUAAUACAGACUGUGGAUUUUGUUGUGAAAAGCAUCCGAUUAUUUAUUGCACUUCAUGAUCCAGGAACUGAAAUUGCAUCAAUUGGAACACAGGAGGAGGUGAAACAAGGGGUUGAGCUUUGCACAAAACCCCCUUAACUGCUAAAGGAAAACCAGAGGAGGAGAUUCAUGAGGCACCACCACAGCCUUCCCGCAGGAGCAGCUAAACCUAACAGAAAACUAAUCAAAUGAUAGUCAGGUGCUUCCCUGAUUUACUUGUUUAGAAGCAGCCACUGGGAGCAAAACUUUGUGACUCAGCUUUGGUGAUGCA
Molecule: long non-coding RNA, 399 nt
Organism: Condylura cristata (star-nosed mole)
Lineage: Eukaryota; Metazoa; Chordata; Mammalia; Eulipotyphla; Talpidae
Exons: 3
Source: RefSeq, a predicted model, not a curated record